This 234-nucleotide unclassified non-coding RNA is filed under the name plant metagenome. RNAcentral's name for it is "partial contains small subunit ribosomal RNA, internal transcribed spacer 1, and 5.8S ribosomal RNA". The record is from RNAcentral.
UUUCCGUAGGUGAACCUGCGGAAGGAUCAUUAAAGUUAUAGUCCCCCGGCCCGCUGGGCUGGGGUCUUCUAUACCACCCUUUGUUUAUUACACCUUUGUUGCUUUGGCAGGCCUGCCCUCGGGCUGCUGGCUCCGGCCGGCUCGCGUCUGCCAGAGGACCUAAACUCUGUUUGUAUAUGAAGUCUGAGUACUAUAUAAUAGUUAAAACUUUCAACAACGGAUCUCUUGGUUCUG